CAACGGGUGGAUGGAGCUGGAAUUUUGGCCAGAAUGUUCCAGCUUGGUUUUGUAGCUCGUAGAAUUUAUUCCGUUCCUGCUCCAUUGUCCCUAGUUCAUGUGGACACCAACCAUAAACUAAUCAUAUUCAACAUUGUGAUAUUUGGUGGAAUUGAUGGAUUCUCAAGGAAGAUCCUGUAUCUUGAUGCUGCUGCAAACAACAAAGCAUCGACUGCUUUCUCAUUUUUUUUGGAGGGUAUCCACAAACAUGGGUGGCCAUCGAGGUAAAAAUUAUCUUUACUA
Molecule: long non-coding RNA, 282 nt
Organism: Cyprinus carpio (common carp)
Lineage: Eukaryota; Metazoa; Chordata; Actinopteri; Cypriniformes; Cyprinidae
Exons: 3
Source: RefSeq, a predicted model, not a curated record